UCCUUUUGCUUUUCUUUUCGUUCCACAACUUUGAUUCGCCACCACAGCUGUCCAAUUGUCCAGCCUCCAACGGUGAUCCACACAGAGAAUGUGAUUGCAGCCUCUAGGGUUUUCUCUUGUGCUAGCAAGAAUAAUGAAAACCUUAUUGGACCUCAAACCCUAGUUAUGUAUUUAUAUAAACCCAAAUAGGCUCGGCCCGGUCCGGUCCAAUAAUUAAUUAAUCCAAUUAAUUAAACCCGGUCCGUGAAUUAAUUAAUCCAAUUAAUUAAUUCGAAAAUAUAAAUAACAAAUCCAAUUAAUUAAUUUAUCCAACGAUUGUUAAAUUAACUAAUUUGCAAUUUGCAAUCUUCCAAUUCUCUUUUGUGUGUGACCCAUUAGGUUCCCGACCACGAUGCCUAACGACGUGAAAUAUUAUUUUGAUCUAAUCAAAAUUGAUAAAUUAAAACACCCUUUUAAUUUAUCGUCAAUUCACAUUCGCCGUCCCUGAUUGACAUCUAGCAAUGUGUCAGGGCAAUACAUGUGACGAGAAAUGUCACGUGGUAUGACAAAACCAAAUUCGUUCGUUUACCGUGAAACUAUAAUCCUUUCGUCAAUAUGAUCCGAUCAAUUACGAGAUAUGGAGCUGUGUCAAUCUCGAUCAUCGAUCAUAUCUUUCACUCCACUAUUAAGUCAAUAUAAGUCGAAAACUCCUUUUCGUCUUAUGAGUACACAUUGGCCAAGGAUUUCAUCAUCGACUUAAUUGAAUGAAACGUAGAUCAUAAUCUCCUACUAUCUAAGAGUGACGAAUCCUUUAUUGAUCAAUCACAACCUUCAUACGAUUCUUGACGUACCCGAACGAUAUCGUAUUAGCGGCCCUUUUCAGAGCAACAUCCAACACCGCCAAAGUAUGACUGUCCUCAUAUAAGGUACCAUGACGACCUCAAGUCAAAGGACCAAUUUCACUACCGAACGUUAGAGAUUAACCAC
This 966-nucleotide long non-coding RNA is filed under the name Olea europaea (common olive). RNAcentral describes it as "long non-coding RNA (OEUR_LNC002889)". Lineage: Eukaryota; Viridiplantae; Streptophyta; Magnoliopsida; Lamiales; Oleaceae. The record is from RNAcentral.